Molecule: long non-coding RNA, 734 nt
Organism: Gadus morhua (Atlantic cod)
Lineage: Eukaryota; Metazoa; Chordata; Actinopteri; Gadiformes; Gadidae
Source: Ensembl
UUAAUGAAGUAUCUACCUAUAUCAAUCUAUCGAUCUAUGUUCUUCUCUCACAGGGUGAGGGCAUUCAGGAGUUUUUGGAGGAGGGCACGGCUCUGGACCCUAGGUUCAAGGGAAUGGUAGAGGAUGCUGUGUGGUACAGACUGGAGGAGGAGUUAAUCGAUCGAGCCUCACACCAGAACAGAGGUGAAACUGCCCAGGCCCAGCAGCUGGUGGACGAUGGGGACAGCUCAUGCGAUGAAGCCAGUUCAGCUGCAACAGAGAAAUGGACAAAGCUGUCUGCACUGGAGGAGUUGUUCAUGGAUGAGGACAUAGAGGUGGGAGAGCGGAAUUACCCAAUUGCGAGCCAAAGGGAUAAGGUGAAAGAAGAAAUCCGCCACUACAGAGGUUUGCCAUCAACUUUGUCAACUGUUGAUCCAGUGAACUGGUGGUGGGACAUGCGGAUCACCCUACCAGCACUAUCAAGCUUGGCUGCAAGGUACAUCUGUGUUCAGGCGUCAGCGACACCAUCAGAGCGCACCUUUUCAACGGCUGGCGACACAAUCAGCCAGGAGCGGGCCUGUCUGUUGCCAGACAAGGCAGACAUGCUGAUCUUUCUCAAAAAAAACUGUUGAGUGACUGUUGUCAUGCAGUUCGGACUCUUUGGACAUUUGUUUGCAUCAGUUUUUGUCUUUGUUAUUAUUAUUGUUCCAUUGUUAUUUAUUCAUUCAUUAUUAUAACUGAGUGCCCUCGACUAG